Molecule: ribosomal RNA, 914 nt
Filed under: uncultured crenarchaeote
Lineage: Archaea; Thermoproteati; Thermoproteota
Description: bacterial SSU rRNA
Rfam family: Archaeal small subunit ribosomal RNA
Source: RNAcentral
UUCCGGUUGAUCCUGCCGGACCUGACUGCUAUCGGAUUGAUACUAAGCCAUGCGAGUUUUUGUAGCAAUACAAGGCAUACGGCUCAGUAACACGUAGUCAAUCUAACCUAUGGACGAGGAUAACCUCGGGAAACUGAGAAUAAUACUCGAUAGAUCAUUAUGCCUGGAACGGUUUAUGGUUAAAAUGAAUUUCGCCAUAGGAUGGGACUGCGGUCUAUCAGCUUGUUGGUGAUGUAAUGGACCACCAAGGCUAUAACAGAUACGGGCUCUGAGAGGAGAAGCCCGGAGAUGGGUACUGAAACACGGACCCAGGCCCUAUGGGGCGCAGCAGGCGAGAAAACUUUGCAAUGUGCGAAAGCACGACAAGGUUAAUCCGAGUGAUUCCUGCUAAAGGAAUCUUUUGUUAGUCAUAAAACCACUAAUGAAUAAGGGGUGGGCAAGUUCUGGUGUCAGCCGCCGCGGUAAAACCAGCACCUCAAGUGGUCAGGAUGAUUAUUGGGCCUAAAGCAUCCGUAGCCGGCUUUGUCAGUUUUCGGUUAAAUCCAUAUGCUCAACAUAUGGGCCGCCGGGAAUACUACAAAGCUAGGGAGUGGGAGAGGUAGACGGUACUCCGUAGGAAGGGGUAAAAUCCUUUGAUCUAUGGAUGACCACCUGUGGCGAAGGCGGUCUACCAGAACACGUUCGACGGUGAGGGAUGAAAGCUGGGGGAGCAAACCGGAUUAGAUACCCGGGUAGUCCCAGCUGUAAACUAUGCAAACUCAGUGAUGCAUUGGCUUGUGGCCAGUGCAGUGCCGCAGAGAAGUCGUUAAGUUUGCCGCCUGGGAAGUACGUACGCAAGUAUGAAACUUAAAGGAAUUGGCGGGGGAGCACCACAAGGGGUGAAGCCUGCGGUUCAAUUGGAUUCAACGCCGGGA